Molecule: long non-coding RNA, 777 nt
Filed under: Physcomitrium patens
Lineage: Eukaryota; Viridiplantae; Streptophyta; Bryopsida; Funariales; Funariaceae
Description: long non-coding RNA (PPAT_LNC008835)
Source: RNAcentral
UCUAAUGAAACUUUUACCCAAUCAGAACUAUCAUAAUGGCGACACUGCCCUGGGUUCCUCACCGAACUGACAAAGCUCACAUUGGUCGCUGGAACCAGUACUGUCGACGCCUUCGCUUGGAUCCGAAAUCCAGCAAUACCACUGUCGCAAUUUGCCGCAGUGAUCCACUACUAUAACCUAGCAGAAAAACCCUACCACCGUCAGGAUUGAGCUCCUUCCACAACGAUCGGAAGGAAGAAUUGGAAUCACAGCAAAUGCUGCAACCCUUCGGAAGGAGAGAACUUCACGUCGUAACCGAGCUCUCCUCGCCUAAUCACGGAAACUGAACACAGUGCUUGAUUGCACCACCUCUGUAAUUCAAUGGCGCUCCAUCAAUUAAGGCAGAGCGGAUCUCUUCAGUGUCGUUCGACCGAGCACUUGCAACACCACUAGAAGGUUACCCUGAUCUGGAGAAGAUGACUGAACGUGAAGUCGCCACUAGCACUCUCUCGCAUCCAAGCUAGAUGCACUGUUCCGCUACCCAAGCCAAGAUCUAGACAAUGCCAUGAUUGCAACUGGGUUUAGGUAUCACCAGCAACCAUCUUUGACGCACCGUGCAGCACCUUUGAACCUUCGAGGUCACUUCGUUGAAUAAUUAAGAUCUUGACUAACCGUCGUAAUUUGUAAUGAGCCAAGCGACACGAGAAGGGAAGAGACAACUCGCUCCAAAACUAAGAAUUGGCACCGCCGCUCUGUCUAGCAGCAACAUCCAGACUUUUCAACGUUCCACAACACCAA